UCAAAAAAUAUGGCCUUUUAUUGUCUUGGAUGCAAAUAUAGUUUUCAAACUGCAUUGUAGUGUUGAAUACAGCUGGUGGAAAGGUGCUUCUCAACAGCAGAGCAUAAACGGCCUUGCUCUGGAUGGCGCAGGCCUGAGGCUUGGGGCCUCCGGUGAGCAAGACUCUUCUUGGGUUUUGUUUUUCUGCCCACGAGGGGUGACUGUUUGCUACAGAAGCCCUGACACAGUCACCGGAGCUCACAAGAGAAAAAAAUGAACCAUUUACACAAUGAACUGAAAGCAGAAAAAGGAAAAGAACGUGCUGUUUCAGCUGUGGCGUUACAGAAGAAGCCCACAAACACGAGUGUGAACAGAUUCAGAUAAAGCAGCAGCAAGGGCGCCGAGGGAGGGGCCUCGUGCCAGUUCCCUCGGGGACACACAGCCUCGGCUCCAUGUCUCCUACCUUUUAACUGCAGGAAGGAAACUUUAUGGAAAUGUAUCGAACUUCAGUUUCUCCCAACCCUCUCCACCACCUCAACUCUUGAGGAUGGCACCUCUCUGUUCACAUACCCAGGAGAGAAUUCUUCCAAUUAGCGACACCCAGGGUUGACUCUGGAACCAAAAGGUUGACUGGGAGAUAAAAGCGAAUUUUGCUACAUAAUUGUCAAGGUAUUUCACAAAAAUAAAAUCCAUUAAAAACACCCACAAACACGCACACACACACACACACACAGAGCCAACAUUCAACAGGAAAAGUUCCCUUUUCUUUCUCAAAGGCUGAUUUUUACAAGCCUCGACAGGAACGGCCCCCACGUGGUGAGCUGGGAAAGCCAAGGCCUCAGAAGGGAAAGACAAUGGGGCAGGUGAUGGAGGGGAUGUGGUGAAAAUCUUUAAUAUACAAGGCAUCAGGGACAUCGAGCCAAAAACCAUGGCCCACCACUGCUGCGCACCCACCUCAGGGCUCGCCAGCUCCCUUCCUCGUUGUCAAGGCCACUGCAGAGGAAGCACUUUGCAAAGUGGCUCCGACAAGCAGCAGACCGGGCGGGUUUCACCUGCAGCAAAUCAAUCAGCGGAAGCAAGGCAUCUCUAGGGAAAGGCAAUUCCUCCACCAGAGAGAGGAGAGCAGCUAUACUCAGCUUAGUUAGGGGCCUGGGGCCGUGAGAGAGACAAAAGACGCAGGCAGAGCUAGAUGACCAUGGGAGGGGAAGAGCAUAGGGGUGCUGUGCCAAGGCUGCC
This 1215-nucleotide long non-coding RNA is filed under the name Sus scrofa (pig). RNAcentral's name for it is "lncRNA (ENSSSCG00035040270.1, ENSSSCG00175036718.1)". The record is from RNAcentral. Lineage: Eukaryota; Metazoa; Chordata; Mammalia; Artiodactyla; Suidae.